CCGCGUUGCCGCUGAACGUUAUUUUUACGAAAAUGUCGAAAAAAUCGAGAGUGAGCCAAGUUUGGGCCUAUUUUACUAAAAAAGACAAAAUAGUUAGAUGCAACCUGUGUACAGCAAAUUUAAGUUUUUGUGGAAACACCACAAAUCUUUUAAAUCAUUUAAGAUUAAAACAUAAAAACAUAAAACUAAGUGAACAUGAAGGACCCAGCGAAGAGGUACAACAUCAGGAAGCAAGUCAGGCAAAAAAAGUAUGCCAAUUGUCACUGGCAGGUUCGUUCGCACGUCCUGCAACAUUUGAAGCACAAGGAGAAAAGGGAAAGGCCAUCACGAACGCUAUAAUGUAUAUGAUAGCUAAGGACAACUUGCCGCUAAACACCACUGAAAAAACAGGCUUUAAACGACUAAUGAAAACGAUAUGCCCGUUAUACAAGAUGCCUGCCGAAACUCAAUUAACGGAGUUGAUGCAAAAAAAAUGCUGUGCGAUGAAGGAAUUAAUCAGAACCAAAUUGAAAACUGCUGGAUCAGUUUGCCUGACAACAGACAUUUGGACAGAAAUGAUGAAUGUAAAAAGUUGUCUUGGAGUAACAUGUCAUUUCGUCUCUGAAAAGGUGAUAUCAAAUAUCUUAAAAUAACAAUAUAGUUCACUCUCGAAUUUCCCAUAUAUUCCGGUGAAGACAGACAGGGAACACCCCCUCUUGUGGUGAAAAAGGUAACUAAACUCAUUGCACAGUGGUACAGUAAGGCAAUUUAGGCGGACAUAGGCUUUUCGUUGCGAUUUUGGUUUGCGGUUUAAAGCCAUAGUUUUUGUAAAAAGUUGUUUCUUAUACAUAGUCCUCGAUUCAUGUGCGAAUGAAAAUUAGGGUGGUCCUAAAAUCAACGAAAUAAAACAUUCUUUGGCAAACUUGUAGACCAACUAAUUCUAAGUAACUUUGUAAAAAAAAUAAAUACAUAGUUUAAAUAUUUUUAUAAACAUUGCUAAAUAGUGUAUAAAAUCAUAAAAAAUAUUCUGUCACGUCGUGUCCUAGACUUCACCAGUAG
Wyeomyia smithii (pitcher-plant mosquito) is the source of this 1038-nucleotide long non-coding RNA. RefSeq lists it as uncharacterized. The transcript has 3 exons. The record is from RefSeq and is a predicted model, not a curated record. Lineage: Eukaryota; Metazoa; Arthropoda; Insecta; Diptera; Culicidae.